GACGAACGCUGGCGGCGUGCCUAAUACAUGCAAGUUGAGCGCUGAAGGUUGGUACUUGUACCAACUGGAUGAGCAGCGAACGGGUGAGUAACGCGUGGGGAAUCUGCCUUUGAGCAGGGGACAACAUUUGGAAACGAAUGCUAAUACCGCAUAAAAACUUUAAACACAAGUUUUAAGUUUGAAAGAUGCAAUUGCAUCACUCAAAGAUGAUCCCGCGUUGUAUUAGCUAGUUGGUGAGGUAAAGGCUCACCAAGGCGAUGAUACAUAGCCGACCUGAGAGGGUGAGCGGCCACAUUGGGACUGAGACACGGCCCAAACUCCUACGGGAGGCAGCAGUAGGGAAUCUUCGGCAAUGGACGAAAGUCUGACCGAGCAACGCCGCGUGAGUGAAGAAGGUUGUCGGAUCGUAAAACUCGGUUGGUAGAGAAGAACGUUGGUGAGAGUGGAAAGCUCACAAAGUGACGGUAACUACACAGAAAGGGACGGCUAACUACGUG
This 497-nucleotide ribosomal RNA is filed under the name uncultured bacterium. RNAcentral describes it as "partial 16S ribosomal RNA". It matches the Rfam family "Bacterial small subunit ribosomal RNA", at positions 28 to 507 of the family's 1533-position model. The record is from RNAcentral.